GAUGAACGCGGGCGGCGUGCCUAAUACAUGCAAGUCGAGCGAACGGACGAGAAGCUUGCUUCUCUGUUGUUAGCGGCGGACGGGUGAGUAACACGUGGAUAACCUACCUAUAAGACUGGGAUAACUUCGGGAAACCGUAGCUAAUACCGGAUAAUAUUUUGAACCGCAUGGUUCAAAAGUGAAAGAGGGUCUUGCUGUCACUUAUAGAUGGAUCCGCGCUGCAUUAGCUAGUUGGUAAGGUAACGGCUUACCAAGGCAACGAUGCAUAGCCGACCUGAGAGGGUGAUCGGCCACACUGGAACUGAGACACGGUCCAGACUCCUACGGGAGGCAGCAGUAGGGAAUCUUCCGCAAUGGGCGAAAGCCUGACGGAGCAACGCCGCGUGAGUGAUGAAGGUCUUCGGAUCGUAAAACUCUGUUAUUAGGGAAGAACAUAUGUGUAAGUAACUGUGCACAUCUUGACGGUACCUAAUCAGAAAGCCACGGCUAACUACGUG
RNAcentral lists this ribosomal RNA (497 nucleotides) under uncultured bacterium. RNAcentral's name for it is "partial 16S ribosomal RNA". It matches the Rfam family "Bacterial small subunit ribosomal RNA", at positions 28 to 507 of the family's 1533-position model. The record is from RNAcentral.